GGAAAUUUGAGAGGAGCUGUCCUUAGUACGAGAGGACCGGGAUGGACGUACCGCUGGUGUACCAGUUGUUCCGCCAGGAGCACGGCUGGAUAGCUACGUACGGAAGGGAUAAGCGCUGAAAGCAUCUAAGCGUGAAGCCCCCCUCAAGAUGAGAUUUCCCAGUACGUAAGACCCCUUGAAGACGACGAGGUAGAUAGGUUCGGGGUGGAAGCGCGGCAACGUGUGGAGCUGACGAAUACUAAUCGGUCGAGGGCUUAACUAACUACCCAAG
This 271-nucleotide ribosomal RNA is filed under the name Paenibacillus piri. RNAcentral describes it as "Paenibacillus sp. MS74 partial 23S ribosomal RNA". It matches the Rfam family "Bacterial large subunit ribosomal RNA", at positions 2656 to 2925 of the family's 2925-position model. Lineage: Bacteria; Bacillati; Bacillota; Bacilli; Caryophanales; Paenibacillaceae. The record is from RNAcentral.